Molecule: ribosomal RNA, 637 nt
Filed under: Aspergillus carbonarius
Lineage: Eukaryota; Fungi; Ascomycota; Eurotiomycetes; Eurotiales; Aspergillaceae
Description: partial 28S ribosomal RNA
Rfam family: Eukaryotic large subunit ribosomal RNA
Source: RNAcentral
UUGACCUCGGAUCAGGUAGGGAUACCCGCUGAACUUAAGCAUAUCAAUAAGCGGAGGAAAAGAAACCAACCGGGAUUGCCUCAGUAACGGCGAGUGAAGCGGCAAGAGCUCAAAUUUGAAAGCUGGCUCCUUCGGAGUCCGCAUUGUAAUUUGCAGAGGAUGCUUUGGGUGCGGCCCCCGUCUAAGUGCCCUGGAACGGGCCGUCAGAGAGGGUGAGAAUCCCGUCUUGGGCGGGGUGUCCGUGCCCGUGUAAAGCUCCUUCGACGAGUCGAGUUGUUUGGGAAUGCAGCUCUAAAUGGGUGGUAAAUUUCAUCUAAAGCUAAAUACUGGCCGGAGACCGAUAGCGCACAAGUAGAGUGAUCGAAAGAUGAAAAGCACUUUGAAAAGAGAGUUAAACAGCACGUGAAAUUGUUGAAAGGGAAGCGCUUGCAACCAGACUCGCCCGCGGGGUUCAGCCGGCAUUCGUGCCGGUGUACUUCCCCGUGGGCGGGCCAGCGUCGGUUUGGGCGGCCGGUCAAAGGCCCCUGGAAUGUAGUGCCCUCCGGGGCACCUUAUAGCCAGGGGUGCAAUGCGGCCAGCCUAGACCGAGGAACGCGCUUCGGCUCGGACGCUGGCAUAAUGGUUGUAAACGACCCGU